Molecule: transfer RNA, 73 nt
Filed under: Ailuropoda melanoleuca (giant panda)
Lineage: Eukaryota; Metazoa; Chordata; Mammalia; Carnivora; Ursidae
Rfam family: tRNA
About the family: Transfer RNA (tRNA) molecules are approximately 80 nucleotides in length.
Source: Rfam by way of RNAcentral
ACCUGGCUGGCUCAGUUCGUAGAGCAUGUGACUCUUAAUUUCAGAGUUAUGAGUUCAAGCCUCAUGUUGGGCG